RNAcentral lists this ribosomal RNA (468 nucleotides) under uncultured bacterium. RNAcentral's name for it is "partial 16S ribosomal RNA". It matches the Rfam family "Bacterial small subunit ribosomal RNA", at positions 28 to 507 of the family's 1533-position model. The record is from RNAcentral.
GACGAACGCUGGCGGCGUGCUUAACACAUGCAAGUCGAACGGAAGGGCCCUGCUUUUGUGUGGUUCUCGAGUGGCGCACGGGUGAGUAACACGUGAGUAACCUGCCCUUGACUUUGUGAUAACUUCAGGAAACUGCGGCUAAUACCGGAUAGGAGCUCCUGCUGCAUGGGGGGGGUUGGAAAGUUUCGGCGGUUGUGGAUCGACUCGCGGCUUACCAGCUUGUUGGUGGGGUAGUGGCUUACCAAGGCUUUGACGGGUAGCCGGCCUGGGAGGGUGGACGGCGACAUGGGGACUACGAGACGGACCAGUCUGGUACGGUAGGCAGCAGUGGGGAGUAUUGCACAGUGAGGGGAAGCCUGAUGCAGCGGCGCCGCGUGCGGGAAGACGUCCUUCGGGUGGUGAACCGCUUUCGCCUGUGACGAAGCGUGAGUGACGGUAAUGAGUAAAGAAGCACCGGCUAACUACGUG